CCCUUGAAUGAUUAGUAUACAGUGGGAGUGGCAAAUUGAAAUGGAAUAAAAAUAUUAUUAAAUAGUAUUAGAGCCAACGUAAAAUGUUUUUCAAUUUUUCUAUUAUUAAUCAUAACAAACGAAGCAAUUAUAUUUCUUAUUUUCAAAUAGAUAUACUUGAUUAUCUGCACGACUGGCGGCCGAUACGAUCGAACAAACAAUAUGUUGCAUACAAGGAGCUAUAUAAUUAUUCGAAAAAAUUAUUUCAUUAAUUGUAUUACCCAUUGUUGACCAUUCCAUUCCCUCGUCCGUUCCUAAAAAUAUAAAAACGUUAUUAUAAUAAAAUUAUUUUUAAUCAUUGUUAUAUAUGAUAAAAAAAAAAAGAUGUAUGAUCAACCAACGAUAAUGCGAUUGCGAUGACGACGUAAUUGGUUUUGAAAAUAGUGGUGCAACUAAAGAAGAAAUUCCUGUCACUAAUCCAGCGAUUGUUAAUGCUUUUGUAUUAACAUUGAGAAGCGUUGGCGAAUGUUCGUUCUCUUCAUUUUUAUAUAAUAAUGGAAUAGAAAUAAAAGCCAACUUACAUCGAUAUUUCCUUCUUCGGAAUCGAACGAAAUAAAUCGUGGUUUCGAAUGACCAUAAAAUGGAUUUUUCAUUUUGGAAGUUUUUCCUUUAUCGAAUCCAGUAGAUAUAUAAUCGGCUGUUGUUAAUUGUAUAAUAAGAAACACAAGUAAGAAGAUCACGUUCAUUUUUGAAAAACUUUCGUAUAUCGUAUGUUCCUAAUAAAAAUACAUAGAUUAAUUAAAGAAAAACAUUUUGAUUAUAUUGUUAAAUAAAUUUCCAUGAGAUAAUGAUAAUAGAAUAUUUUCACUUUCAAAGAAUUAUUAUUAGAAUAGAUACGGAUAAACUAUCUAUAAUCACAUACAAUAAUCACAUUCACUUCACGUUUAUAAACAUAUUUAAAAAAAAAUGUAUUACAACGAAGGAAAGGAAAAAAAACAAAACAAAAAAAAAAAAAAAAAAAAGAGAAAAAACAAGGAAAUAACGAAGAAAAGAUAAAUUAAUUGUAAAUCGUUGACAUUUUUAACGAAUAUUAUAAUAAUAAAUGUGUAUUCUUAGCUUACUUUUAUCAAACACGAUGGCAUUGAUGGACAGUUUUCUACAAAGUCGAGUUCUAGCUAGCUAGCAGACUAUGUAUAAUGCCUAGCCCACCCCUUCGACGAACAGGAAAUUCCUUUUCUCGAAUAGAAUUAACGAGCCUAAAGGAAGAACGAUAGACUAAAUUGUACCAGGGAAAUGGACAUUAGCAAUUAUUAUAUCUUAUUAUUUAUCACUUAAAAUUAUACGUUACUUAUAAAAAGAAAAAAAAAAUUUAUAUGUGGAUAAAUACAUUUCUCUCCGCUAAUUAUCAUUUUUAUUUUAAAUAGAGUAAACCUAUGUACUUAUAUUGAAAUUAUUAACAAUUGCUAUACUAUUGUUUUCACUUGGAUAGAAAGAAAAAUAAAAAGGUCUCCUUACGUGAAAGAGACGAAUUGUCCAAUUACGCACGUACACUGCACAUGUCGUGCCUUUCGCGUAACUUUCGCAAAUUUUCCUAAGCAACGUCCAGAACGAAUUCCAUUCUGCAAAGACAAAUGUACAUACAUAGAAUCUAUGAAAUGUUUACGCUCAUUUCUUUUCACUGUCGUUAUUAUUGCUCCAAAGUAUGUACAUCCACUUUCUCGCUUUAGAAUUGUUUACCUUGAAACGAUAUCUAAAAUCAAGACCUAUCAACGAUAAU
Vespa velutina is the source of this 1756-nucleotide long non-coding RNA. RefSeq lists it as uncharacterized. The record is from RefSeq and is a predicted model, not a curated record. The transcript is spliced from 3 exons. NCBI's taxonomy places the organism in Eukaryota, Metazoa, Arthropoda, Insecta, Hymenoptera, Vespidae.